CCCUUGGGUGAACUCUCCUCGUCUACCAAACUGCCCCCAUGCUGCCCUUCUCCCUAGAGAUCCUUAUCAUCUAUCCGCCAUACAUCCUGAUCUUUCUACCAAGACUGCCUCCAACCAAAGUUGGAUCAGCAAAUUAUGCAUCCAAACCUUCCACCUUGGAAAACAUUCCUUCCCGUCAAUCCUCUCAACCUCUACCUUCAACCCGCUGCUUCCGAUUGGCCUAACCACAGCAAAAAUGAAAGUAGAUCUAAGACAUACUGUGGAUAGGUGUGCAAAUUUCUUAUUUCACCUUGUAUGACUUCUCCUUCUCUUUCAUGCUCUACUAGACUCUGAUAAUAAUUGUUAGAAAAAUCUUGACUGCAUCUGUCAGGAACCCUUGGAUCUUCUGCAUGUACCUGAGGAGAUCUAUGAUAGAUCCAGACUCUUUGAAGGCAACGAACAUUGAUCCACUAUCUAGAUCUGUGAUGGGGCACCUCCAUCCUAGGGCUUGAGGGAGGCACCCCACUUUCUUUAGGGAUUCUUCAAGGAACCUAGAGCGACAACACUAGAAAAAGAGAGAAGAGAGAUUGAGAGAGAAAAUAUCUAUAUUCCACUAUAUCUUGAAAUCCUAACAUAACCUAUGUAUAUAUAUACAUAGCCAAUAGACCCGACCAGAAACUCUUUUGGCUGAACCUAUACAAGAAAGUACUAACUGAGCUCAUGUACGCCCAUAUCUCAUAAGCUCUCAUCCCUUGAACUUAAUCCUAGUCCAAAUCCUGAGUUAGCCCCC
This 769-nucleotide long non-coding RNA is filed under the name Elaeis guineensis (African oil palm). Its description in RNAcentral is "long non-coding RNA (EGUI_LNC073525)". The record is from RNAcentral. Lineage: Eukaryota; Viridiplantae; Streptophyta; Magnoliopsida; Arecales; Arecaceae.